This 83-nucleotide transfer RNA is filed under the name Candidatus Bathyarchaeota archaeon. Its description in RNAcentral is "tRNA-Gly". It matches the Rfam family "tRNA". From Rfam's summary of the family: Transfer RNA (tRNA) molecules are approximately 80 nucleotides in length. Their secondary structure includes four short double-helical elements and three loops (D, anti-codon, and T loops). Lineage: Archaea; Thermoproteati; Candidatus Bathyarchaeota. The record is from RNAcentral.
GCGGGAGUGCCAGAGAGGAAAUGGACCGACAGUCCAAGUCGGCGGUUAGUCCAUCGCGGGUUCGAAUCCCGCCCCCCGCACCA